CAUCGAAGAAGGCCAGAAAAAGAUGAUGCAGGACACAAACAGCAGCUUUCUGGAAGAAGAUAAACUUCAUUCAGAGACAACAGUGCCCUUCAUUCCUGUAAAGGAGCGGAGAAAGGUUUCCCAAACUAAUUGGAUCAACGAUUAAGUGGGAGGCAUCCUGCCCCACCGAGCAGAGACAAUGGCAGAAGAAAGGGUCAACGCAGGCGCCGGCUGAAAACUGACACUUGAAUUAGAUAAUGAAGAAUAGAGGGCAGAAGAAAAGGAGAGAGGCCUAUCGGUGUGAGGUCUUCAAGGAGGUCCAGACUUUAACUCACCCGGUGUGGCCAGAGAGACAGUUUUGAUUGACUCAUGUUGCUUGGCAAUAUCAAUUUGCAAAGACAAGCUGAACUGCGACAUUCUUUACUCUGUAUUAUCCUGAUAAA
Long non-coding RNA from Larimichthys crocea (large yellow croaker), 422 nucleotides. RefSeq lists it as uncharacterized. The record is from RefSeq and is a predicted model, not a curated record. The transcript has 3 exons. NCBI's taxonomy places the organism in Eukaryota, Metazoa, Chordata, Actinopteri, Sciaenidae.